Molecule: ribosomal RNA, 641 nt
Filed under: uncultured bacterium
Lineage: Bacteria
Description: bacterial SSU rRNA
Rfam family: Bacterial small subunit ribosomal RNA
Source: RNAcentral
CGGCCUAUCAGCUUGUUGGUGGGGUAGUGGCCUACCAAGGCGACGACGGGUAGCCGGCCUGAGAGGGUGACCGGCCACACUGGGACUGAGACACGGCCCAGACUCCUACGGGAGGCAGCAGUGGGGAAUAUUGCGCAAUGGGCGAAAGCCUGACGCAGCGACGCCGCGUGGGGGAUGACGGCCUUCGGGUUGUAAACCUCUUUCAGCAGGGACGAAGCGAAAGUGACGGUACCUGCAGAAGAAGCACCGGCCAACUACGUGCCAGCAGCCGCGGUAAUACGUAGGGUGCAAGCGUUGUCCGGAAUUAUUGGGCGUAAAGAGCUCGUAGGCGGUUCGUCGCGUCGGCUGUGAAACCCUGAGGCUCAACCUCAGGCCUGCAGUCGAUACGGGCGGACUUGAGUACUGCAGGGGAGACUGGAAUUCCUGGUGUAGCGGUGAAAUGCGCAGAUAUCAGGAGGAACACCGGUGGCGAAGGCGGGUCUCUGGGCAGUAACUGACGCUGAGGAGCGAAAGCGUGGGGAGCGAACAGGAUUAGAUACCCUGGUAGUCCACGCCGUAAACGUUGGGCGCUAGGUGUGGGGGCCAUUCCACGGUCUCCGUGCCGCAGCUAACGCAUUAAGCGCCCCGCCUGGGGAGUACGG